This is a non-coding RNA of Anas platyrhynchos (mallard), 46 nucleotides long. The record is from Rfam. Lineage: Eukaryota; Metazoa; Chordata; Aves; Anseriformes; Anatidae.
CCAACGGCUCUUUUAAGAGCCACCCAACCUUUCACGAAAAGAGCUG